UCGGAUCGCGUCGACGUCGGCGGUUCGCCGCCGAUGUUGCUGUGAGAAGUUCAUUAAACCUUAUCAUUUAGAGGAAGGAGAAGUCGUAACAAGGUUUCCGUAGGUGAACCUGCGGAAGGAUCAUUG
RNAcentral lists this ribosomal RNA (126 nucleotides) under Brachiolejeunea laxifolia. RNAcentral's name for it is "partial 18S ribosomal RNA". It matches the Rfam family "Eukaryotic small subunit ribosomal RNA", at positions 1710 to 1831 of the family's 1831-position model. The record is from RNAcentral. Lineage: Eukaryota; Viridiplantae; Streptophyta; Jungermanniopsida; Porellales; Lejeuneaceae.